GUCGACACGUCUGGUGGGUGUCGAGACAAGUCGAAGUAGUUUUGGGUUUUAUGUACAUACUGUUAUGUAGUUGUUGUACUCGUUGGAGCGAGGUGUUAUUGUGGACUUUUGUAUGUACAGUGAACCCUUUAUAUUUUAUAUAUUUUUUAGUUCUAGCAGCUUUAUACUCUUAGUUGUAGCUAUGAUUUGAUUACAGGUACAGCUAUCGCUUCGUAUAUACGAAAAAUUUCUAUGUAUACGGCGCGUCUGUUGGC
This 254-nucleotide long non-coding RNA is filed under the name Ananas comosus (pineapple). RNAcentral describes it as "long non-coding RNA (ACOM_LNC017783)". The record is from RNAcentral. Lineage: Eukaryota; Viridiplantae; Streptophyta; Magnoliopsida; Poales; Bromeliaceae.